UGUUAAUCUGAACAGCAGUAGUUGCAGCAGAUUAAUUAGACAGCACUAGUUAUGCUUGCUGUUAUUUAGUUGAACCUAGAUGCAUGCAUGAAAAAGAAAAGUAGCUACAUUAGCAUUUGUUUGUUCUAGCAGUAUGUAUUUCAAGGAUACUGCCCAUUGUCCUUUGUCUAUAAUGUAGUGUUGAUGUUAAAACCAAAUGUCUUGCCGUGAGCAUUGUGAGCUUUAUUUUACUUUGGUUCUAAUAUUUAGCUUAAUGUUUUCUGAGCUUGCUAGACCAUGUCAACACACGUGGACAAGCAAGGACGCAGCACGCCGGCGACUGGGCGUCAGACACCAAGAUGAAUUGCAAGGGACCCACUGAGGGAAAGUGGCGUUUUAUCUGGUCUGGCGGCCAUGCAUUGCCGGGUCCGUUGGAUCCAUCGACGAGCAGCCACGAUCACUUCGUGAAUGCCCUGUAGCACGUCUACUUCGAGCAGGAAGGAGGCCUUGACCUGGUUGUUGUGCUGCAGAGCAGCUCGUUCGGGUAUGAUGAUUUUUUCUGCCUGGGUUCACCGCCGACGACAUGUCGCUGGCACUGCCAUUCUGCUCGGCCAGGACUUGAGCAUGUGCGAGAAAUUCAUUGCUGCUACACUCUCCUUUGAUGAAGUCAUGUUUAAUCUGGUGCUGUGAUUUAUGCACAUGUUGGUGGUGUAAACGAUAUUGCAUUCGCCCAUCCAAAUAAGCAGCUAUGUAUAAUUACCUGUGCAGAUGAUAAGACAAUAAAGGUAUGGGAGGCCACUAGUUGAGCAAGACAGUGUACCUUUUUGAAGGUCAUGUAGCUCGUGAAGCUCAUGUUUAUUCAGUUGGUCCACAUUAUAAGGACAAUAUUCAGUUCAUCUUUUCAACUGAUUUAGAUGGAAAGAUAGCGGUAUGUGGAAGAUUAUGGAGAUAGCUUAUACUGAUCAGUGCUGAUCAUUAAAACUGGGUGAUAAUCAUGGGACAACUAUAGUCAAAAGCAAUAUUAGGGGGCACUCUAAGAAAAACUUACCGGUCUCGCCUUUUCAAAUGCGUUAAAUGUGUUGGUAUUCUCUGGAGCUCAUGCCCAGGUUCUGACUGCUACGUCCACUGUCUGAUAUGGGCUGUGCAAGGAGCACACUGGCCCACCAGAUCGCGUCAUCAGUCGGAGCAGAAGUGGCAUUGCAGCUUGCCAGCCCGUGGCGCCGCAGAAACACUUUUGCUGGCGUCGACGCUGGGCAGCGACCUCUAGCUUGGACCUAGCUGGCUACCCAAGCAUGCUGCAGCUGCUCCCUGUCUUCAUCGAGACUUGGUGAAAAUGUACUCUGAGUACAUAUAUUUCCCCAUUUAAAGAGGUUGAUGUUUAAGUGCCAGCUCACAAGGAGUAAUCAAGUGAAGAAGAAGAUACAUCCACAGAUACUACAGGAAGUAAAGACAGAAGAUGGUGAAGAUAAAAAACCCCAGAGCAUGCGGGUAUUUUAUGAAUACCUUCGCAUGCUCUCAUACUUCCAUUUCGGCAAACUCUCAGAUUAGGACGAAGAAGUGGAGCUGUAGCUGGCCAGGAGGGAGCCAUGUCCGCUGAAUCUGACGUGACCCGACAAUUAUAGCAUUCAGAAGGGGAUCCAUGUCCGCCGAACCAGCGUAACUGUAGAUUACCCUGGUCUCGUGGUCGUUGGGUCCUCACGGCCGGCGUCGGCGAAGGGCAAAAGGCUUCAACCUUUCGGCGUUGCGGCAUAUGCUGGUGUCCAGGUUCGAUGUGAGGCUUGUCCAGUUCCGGUCAAAGCUGUCCCGGUCAGCAAUCAGGGCGAUGGCUGAUGCCUUGGUGGUGGCAUUGUUGCUGGGCAGCGUCCAUGUCUGCGGUAGAUAGGACGGGUGUUCUGCAGUCCCUAAUCGACCUAUUGUAGCUCGUUUUCUUCUACGAGGCAAUACGUGUUGCAGAUCAGCAUCAAUCAGGAUCUCAUUUUUUUCAGCAGCACAUGUUUCGGCUCCAGGGUAUCCGGUGGCACACCGGGCAUACCCUGCAAGUACUCAUUUUGAAAUGCUGAUCUGUGACACCAUCAAGUCUUGCAAUUCUGGUGACAUCUUUUCUGUGAAUGCUGAUUUCCAAGAUGCGUGGCUAGUCUUUGGUUCACACGAAUGAUAUGUAUUUGGUUUUGUUUGUGCUUCCUAGUUGAGCAAAAUAUUUGGUCUCUAGAGAAUCAAUCUUGGUAUUGAAGUUGUUCCUUUUGUUUAAGUCCCAGAAAGAUUAGGGUGCUUUUCGUUCUGUAUGUCAGUAUGUGUUCCGUUGGUUCAGGUUUAAGGUUGACGUACUGACCUGUAGCUCAUAAGUUGUGUUGCUAUGAAAUUGACAUGUAGGCCUAGUAUUUCUGGUAAGCCACUGUUUGAUGGUUUUGUUUUUGAUUUACAGGUAGUGAGGAGAUCAAGACUUAAAGUAACUAGGUUCUUGUAAUCUAGUAAUAUGCUGCUGUGGUGAUUCUUGUAAUAAUCAAUCGAAUUGUAAAUUGUGAUACUGUAGAUGGCAACUUGUAACUGUUGUUUCCUCUGUAAUUUUGAUCAGCAUUUCCAUCUCUAUAUGAAAUGGUGAGUUGAAUUC
This is a long non-coding RNA of Lolium rigidum, 2587 nucleotides long. RefSeq lists it as uncharacterized. The record is from RefSeq and is a predicted model, not a curated record. Lineage: Eukaryota; Viridiplantae; Streptophyta; Magnoliopsida; Poales; Poaceae. The transcript has 11 exons.